GCCCUAUUUAAGGAGGAGAUCCCUCCUCUCUUCCUUCCACCGAAGAUUCUAAGCCCGAUCGACGGCAAUCGUCAAAAAAUCCACCACAGAAGACCGUCCCUGUGCCGUCCAAUUUCUCGUCAGAAAAGCUUCACCGGUGAUGGAGGUAAGCCUCCUCCCCUUCCUCUCUUCUCUCCUUUUCUUUCCGUGCCGAUGUGCACGCUCGUCGGUGACCAGAGUCAUCGGAUUUUGUUGCGGAAGAACCUUUCUUUUUGCCAUUUUUCCGACGUCGGUGGUCACUGCCGACCAUCGGUUUCGUCCCCCUUUUGCCGUCGGAUCGCCCCCCUUCGGCCGUCGACCAUCUCCAUGCCGACUGCAUAGUCGAUCGGCCAACCAAUGAGGGGAUUAAAGAUCC
Molecule: long non-coding RNA, 394 nt
Filed under: Elaeis guineensis (African oil palm)
Lineage: Eukaryota; Viridiplantae; Streptophyta; Magnoliopsida; Arecales; Arecaceae
Description: long non-coding RNA (EGUI_LNC074144)
Source: RNAcentral